This is a long non-coding RNA of Daphnia pulex (common water flea), 1004 nucleotides long. RefSeq lists it as uncharacterized. The record is from RefSeq and is a predicted model, not a curated record. NCBI's taxonomy places the organism in Eukaryota, Metazoa, Arthropoda, Branchiopoda, Diplostraca, Daphniidae. The transcript is spliced from 4 exons.
CUUAUGGCUUAUGGCGGCUCGUUGCCAAAAGUUUAGCUACAGCUAUUUUCUUCGAAAAUUACUAAUGAAUUCGCUGGAGAAAAUGUGAAAGGUGCAUGAAGCCUGUACUGUCUUGUAUUGUGUUAAAAAUCCUGGUAUCCUACUGAAUAUGUCAUCCAAAUGACAGAGUGGAUUCAUCACUAUUAUCGGCUGAAUCAUUCUAUGGAACUUGCCAGAUCACCAACCCCAUCACGGACCAAUCUCUCAUUCCAUCUUGUAGAGAACCUUGGAUAACCGAUUGGUGGUUUAGUGUGUAAGUUUGUUUGUCAUGUCACUAAAUUUAUUUUGUUGCAGUCUUAUAUGUAUUUAAAGUUCUGCACGUUCUGCACUUAUGUCUAUCUAAUGUUUAAGUUUAAUUAUUCUUUUAGAUCAUAGACAUCAAGCACAUUGAUGCCACAAAUUAUAGACAAGGUGACUUUAUUUUUUAUUUACAGGUUCUUGGGUUGCAUGACAGACUUUAUGAGAAGUCAUGUCCAUUGAACAAAAAGGACAAUGACUAUACAGUAACCCGUUGGCUGCUAGCCUGCUACUUGAAUAUCCCCUUUUACUUCUUUAAAAUGUAAACAGGCCCUCUUGGUUUGAGGGUAACUCCUUCGCUACUUAUCAUGGACUUCAUCCAUUGGUGAAAACCAAUGACAACCAGGAGGAAAAGAGUGUGCUGGUCGAAUGGGGCACUUGCAAGCUUAAGCCGGAAGCCUACUAUAGGAUUAAUCGUUCUCGUAAUAACUGUUCCUCAACUCUUCGCUCUUUUUCCGGUUUCUCCUACCAUCUCCCUGUCUGCAGUCAAUUAAGGCAGUCUCCACCUGUCUUGAUUGACUCCAUGUGCGAGUUUUUAAAGCAAUUUAUCUCCCAAAUGACACAAAGAAGUUGGUUAGGUUUGUUUUAUUUGGGUAUAAAUUGUUUUAAAACUUGUACUAAUAAUCAAUUGCCUUGUACCGGACGCUCUGUUUAUUAAAUUUUUAAUA